UAGCUCUGGUUUUUCUUAAGUCAUAUAUAAAUCUUUUGCCUUUUACUAAAGAUUUCUGUGGUGAGGAGUAUCAAUGAGUUUGAGGUAUUUUUGUGAGCUCUGCUCUAACAAAGUU
Hemibagrus wyckioides is the source of this 115-nucleotide small nuclear RNA. RefSeq annotates it as U5 spliceosomal RNA. The transcript has a single exon. The record is from RefSeq and is a predicted model, not a curated record. Lineage: Eukaryota; Metazoa; Chordata; Actinopteri; Siluriformes; Bagridae.